GGAAGCUGUUCGAUGGACAGAGAUGAUUCGGGCAUCACGAGAAAAUCCAGCCAUGCAGGAAAAAAAAAGGUCAAGCAUUUGGCAGUUUUUCAGCCGACUUUUCAGCUCCUCAAGUAACACGACUAAGAAGCCUGAACCACCUGUUAAUCUGAAGUACAAUGCACCCACGUCUCAUGUUACUCCGUCCGUCAAGAAAAGAAGCAGCACCUUAUCUCAGCUCCCUGGGGAUAAGUCCAAAGCCUUUGAUUUCCUUAGUGAAGAGUAAGUCUUUUCCAAAUUAAUCAUUAUAUUC
This 292-nucleotide long non-coding RNA is filed under the name Homo sapiens (human). RNAcentral's name for it is "non-protein coding lnc-TOB1-6:1". Lineage: Eukaryota; Metazoa; Chordata; Mammalia; Primates; Hominidae. The record is from RNAcentral.